AGACGGAGGGUGCUAGCGUUGUUCGGAAUUACUGGGCGUAAAGGGCGUGUAGGCGGAAAGGUCAGCUAGAGGUGAAAGCCCGGGGCUCAACCCCGGAGGGUCUUUUAGAACUGCCAUUCUUGAGAAGGUCAGAGGUUAGCGGAAUUCCUGGUGUAGCGGUGAAAUGCGUAGAUAUCAGGAGGAACACCGGUGGCGAAAGCGGCUAACUGGGGCCAUUCUGACGCUGAGGCGCGAAAGCGUGGGGAGCAAACAGGAUUAGAUACCCCGGUAGUCC
RNAcentral lists this ribosomal RNA (274 nucleotides) under uncultured bacterium. Its description in RNAcentral is "partial 16S ribosomal RNA". It matches the Rfam family "Bacterial small subunit ribosomal RNA", at positions 523 to 796 of the family's 1533-position model. The record is from RNAcentral.